Trematomus bernacchii (emerald rockcod) is the source of this 216-nucleotide long non-coding RNA. RefSeq lists it as uncharacterized. The transcript is spliced from 3 exons. Lineage: Eukaryota; Metazoa; Chordata; Actinopteri; Perciformes; Nototheniidae. The record is from RefSeq and is a predicted model, not a curated record.
GAAGAUCAUAGGUCUGGUUUCGCACUUGAUAAAUGCUUACUGUUUCCUUCAGUUCUUUGAUGGUAUUGUGUGUGUGUGCACAGGCAUCUUCUUGGGAACAGGCAAACAGAAGAUUCCUGCUGUGGCCAACUUCCUUGGAUACUACGGCAUAGCACUUCCAAUCGGCGUUACUUUGACCUUUGUUGCAAAAAUGGGAAUAAUUGGUUUUUGGCUGGG